Molecule: ribosomal RNA, 323 nt
Filed under: uncultured Anaerococcus sp.
Lineage: Bacteria; Bacillati; Bacillota; Tissierellia; Tissierellales; Peptoniphilaceae
Description: bacterial SSU rRNA
Rfam family: Bacterial small subunit ribosomal RNA
Source: RNAcentral
GAUUAACGCUGGCGGCGUGCAUAACACAUGCAAGUCGAACGAUGAAACUUAGUAGACUUCUUCGGAAAGACACUAAGCGGAUUAGUGGCGAACGGGUGAGUAACGCGUGAGUAACCUGCCUUACACAAGGGGAUAGCCUUUGGAAACGAAGAAUAAUACCCUAUAAAACCAUAAAAGCACAUGCUAGAAUGGUCAAAGUGAUAGCGGUGUAAGAUGGACUUGCGUCUGAUUAGCUAGUUGGUGAGAUAAAAGCUCACCAAGGCAACGAUCAGUAGCCGGCUUGAGAGAGUGUACGGCCACAUUGGGACUGAGACACGGCCCAG